UGAUAACAAACUUGCUCAGGAGUUGAAGCAAGAGGGAUCUUCACUUGUGGAAAGUCCUGGAGGUGAAGAUUCAUCAUCAAAUAUGGAUGAAUCAAUAGAUCCAGAUGGAGAUGCUGAGGUGGAAGGAAAGGGACCGGAGGUGAAAGUAGAGGAUCCUGAGCAGCGAUACGGCUCUGUCAAAGAGAAGCAUGAGGCAGAGGAGGAUGGGGAUGAUGAGGAAGAGGAGGAAGAAGAGGAA
RNAcentral lists this unclassified non-coding RNA (238 nucleotides) under Hevea brasiliensis (rubber tree). Lineage: Eukaryota; Viridiplantae; Streptophyta; Magnoliopsida; Malpighiales; Euphorbiaceae. The record is from RNAcentral.